GGCAGCAUAGAGGUUAGAUGCAAGAUGAGUCAGUUAGGUCACAUCCCUUUUACUGUCAUACUUUUCUCACUCUUACAAUUUUUGCCAAGGCAAUUUCAUUAGAAUAAUCUGCUAACUAAGGGCUCUAUGUAAAGUUGCUGAUUUUCUUUAGAGGUUAGACGGAACUGGGUACCUAAUCUGCACAGGCCAGUGAAAUAUACAAAUGGAAAGCACUUGUUCAAUAAUUUUUAAGCAUUUCAGAUUGUGACAGCAGAGCAUUUAACAAGCAAGGGCCUCUCUAAGCAUUGGGCUCUGUGUGACUGCCCAUAUCACCUGCCCCUGAAGCCUGCCUUGAGGGCUUCACUGGAACAGAUAUGAUUAUAGCAAAUCACUCUGCCCACACCCGAGGCUGCAGCCAGAAACCACGGAAACUGACAGACGCCAGCAAAAAGAAAGAAAAAGUUAAGAAAUUUCUUACCAGUAAUCCUCCUUGGGUUUCUGCCUUAGGACUAGUCAGGUGGAAUCCUACUCUGUCGCCAGGCUGGAGUAUAGUGGUGUGAUCUUGGCUCACUGCAACCUCUGCCUCCCAGGUUCAAGCGAUUCCCCUGCCUCAGGCUCUGGAGUAGCAGCAGCUGGGACUACAGGUCAUAUGAAAUGAUCUGGCCUUCAUGCACAGGUGGACAACCAAAAGUUUAGGAGCCCCAAGAAUAUAGCCAAACAGAAAUGUGAGUUAUACCUCAUUUGCAGCUAGUGAAGUUUUGAUUUUUUGGCUGGUCUGUGGGAGUGGUCUGAAUCUUGGAAGAACUUCGUCUUUCUGUUUCGUCUUUGGAGUCCUUGGUUACAACCAUAGAGAGGCUACGUAGUUUGGUCUUGAGUCACUUGUUAAAUAUAUCUUUAGUUAAGAUUUUGGUUUAUAUUCAGAGAAUAAUUUUUUUUUUAACUUUUCCUUUUUCUGUUUGCUUCCUGCAUUCUCAUUUGAGCUAACAGGAAAUUUUAUAUUCAAAAGAAGAAAUUUGAUUAGUAAUUACCCUGAACUUCUAAAAACUUCCAUUAUUUCUUUGUCUUUUGAGAUGUAAAUUCUCUCUCCAGUCUUACCUGAGAAAUAAUUCCUUUUUAAAUGCAAAUUUCAAGGAAAGAAAAGCCAGGAAACAGAAGUGUUUGCUGUUUGUUUGGCUAAAACCUCUAAUGAGAUAUUUAAAGAUUUCUUUUUUAAGAGCUUUAUGGUCAAAAAUUAACUUAAUUAAAAGCUGAUAUUCAGGCUACAAUUUUUUUAAAAGCCUCCCUGCUUUUUCUGUUUUGGAUCCUGUUUCUACUAUGGAAUUUCUUUUAGUCCACAGAAGCUCCUUUUAAUUAUAUGUUCGUUCCUCUGUCUACUUCCUUUUUUGUUGGCAUGAUUUCUGCUGAGAAUAAUAUAAAACUUUAUCGACCUUUUUGAAAACUCCCCAGUUUGCUGCUUUAGGAUUUGUUCUUCCUUUUACCUCUGCCCCCAUUUCUUUUGUCAUCUUGAUACUCUUUGAGGAAGGAAGAAAAGGUGCCACUGACCCUCUUUUUCCUCCUCACGAAGCCUUAAGAGUGAGAAGUCAGUUCCUCUCAGGUCCAAGGCUCUAUUAUCUUUCAUAUGAAGCUCCCUAAUCUCCUGGCUCUUAGGAGGUGGAGUACCAAGGCUUGCUUUAUAACUGACAAGUCACUGGUAAGAGCUACAAUUUUAAAGGUAACUAACAAUGUUACAGCAACCAGUUAUUACGGCAGAAGGCAAAUUCUUACUUUCUACCUUCUUCAUUUCUUUGCAUGCUUAGGUAAGAAAAGACUCAGGUAUAUGACUAAGUCAGACCCAACUGACAAUCAGACAGUUAUUUGAAACAGGCUUCCGAAUUGUCUUUUAGGUUCAUCUGUAUGUAACCGCCCAAUAGGUUCACCUUGCCUAGACAGAACCGAUUUAUCAAGACAGGGAAAUUGCAAUAGAGAAAGAGUUUCAUUUACACAGAGCUGGCUGUACAGGAGACCAGAGUUUCAUUAUUACUCAAAUCAAUCUUUCUGGAAACAUGAGGAUCAGGGUUUUUGUAGAUAGUUCGGUGGGUAGAGGGUCAGAAAGUGGGGAUUGCUGAUUGGUUGGGUCAGAGGUGAAAUCCUAGGGAGUUGAAGCUGUUCUCUUGUGCUGAAUCUGUUCCUGUGUGGGGGCCACAAGACCAGAUGAGCCAGUUUUUGGAUCUGGGUAGUGCUAGCUGAUCCAUCAAGUGCAGGGUCUGCAAAAUAUCUCAAACAUUGAUCUUAGGUUUUACAAUAGUAAUGUUAUCCCAAGAAACAAUUUGGGAUGUUUAGAAUCUUGCAGCCUCCAACUGCAUGAUUCCUAAACCAUAAUUUCUAAUCUUUUACAUAAUCUGAUAGUCCUGCAAAGACAGUCUGGUCCCCCAGGCAGAAAGGGGGUUUGUUUGGGGAAAGGGCUGUUAUCACCUCUAUUUCAAUGCUAAACUAUAAACUAAGUGUCUCCCAAAAUUAGUUUGACCUAUGCCCAGGAAUGAACAAAGAUAGCUUGGAGGUUAGAAGCUAGAUGGAUUUGGUUAGGUCAAACCUCUUUCGCUAUAAUAAUUGUCUCAGUCAUAUUUUUUGCAAAGGCAGUUUCAUGUGUACUUUAUUGUAAAAUCCUCUAAUUCUUAUGAUUUUAUAUUACCUUAGCAUUCAUUUAAAAUCUUCCUCUUUGUCUCACCUAAAGCACCCAAAGCUCCUUGAGAAAACUUAUGUUCUUUCUCUAUGCCUUUGAGAUGUAAAUCUCUCACCCUGUCUUCUCUAGGACUUGAUAGCAUUCUUUUGAAAAAAACUAUAAGAUAUUUGUAUCUAUCUGUAUGAUUGUUUAUGUUUAUACACAUAUACAUCUAUGAUAUCUGUUGUGUCCACAUGAUACAAAAUCCCUUCGUUGAAUUUCAAAUUGAUUUAAAAGACAAAUGAACAUGCAUAUAUUAAAUACUUUAGGCUCCUAAAAUUAUAGAUACUAACUCAAAUUAUUUUCAAAUUCAUAUGAAUUGAAUACAUUUUUUGUAAAUAAAACUAGCUUAAUAUUGUUGGUUUAAAAAACAGUAAAUCAAAUAGAUAUGAGUGAGAUAAAGAUGUAUCUCUUUGAUAACUACAUCCUUAGAAUUUUGCUAAGUUAAAUUAAAUGAUGGCUAUUCAUUUAAUAUCUAGUUCAUUUCUAAAGAAGAUAAAAGAUUGAAACAUUAAUUGCUCAACAUAGGUUUCAGUUUAUUUACAUUUGGCAUCUUACAUUUUAUAGAAAGAUAAAAUAUAUUUGGGCUUGUUAGCAAAUAUGUCCUUUUCCACAUUGGAAAUAUGUUCUAUCAGGAAAUCUAUGUUUCUAGAAGUCAUUAAGUAUAUAGUCAUAAAAUGGGUUGGUAUGUGACUUUGAAGUUGCUUACUUCCUAGAUUUUCACUAGAAAUUAAGAUUAUUAGGAUUAUGUCACUGAAUAUUAAUAUAUAUACUUAAAACUACUAAUAAUAAAGGAAACAAUUCUGUAUACAAAAUAUACAGGCAAAUUAAGAUGUUAUAAGGUAUAAACGUGUUUUUGUUGAGGAAAGAAAUCAUUUUGUCUAGGUACAGGUUAUUUAAAGGUUGACUCAAAAUAAGUAAAUGGAGAUAAGAAUGACUGAGCUAAACCUGAAUAAAUAUAGAAGGUUGGGAAAAGAAAGACAGUGAAAAAAAAUCCUGUGUCGUUAAACUGAUAAAAAUUUACUAAAUUUAAUAUAAGGGUUUUAAAAUUGAGACUUAUCAUUAAUAGUACACUGAUACAAAACUAGAAAUUGCUUUUUAAGGAUAUUCAUGUAGUAUUAAUAAGAGAUAAUAAAAGCUUUAUGUUCACCUUUGGAGUAAAGG
RNAcentral lists this long non-coding RNA (3841 nucleotides) under Homo sapiens (human). Its description in RNAcentral is "HSALNT0313273". Lineage: Eukaryota; Metazoa; Chordata; Mammalia; Primates; Hominidae. The record is from RNAcentral.